AGGGAGUUAGUCCAAAACAAGACCUCUGAUUUCGGCUCAGAAAAUUGUGGUUUAAGUCCACGACCCCCUUAUGACACCAGUACAUUUCAGUUUUAGCUCAGCAUUUAUUCUUGGACUAAUAGGUUUAGCAUUCCAUCGAACUCAUUUACUUUCUGCACUUCUAUGUUUAGAAGGAAUAAUAUUAUCCCUAUUUAUUGCACUAGCCCUGUGAGCUCUCCAAUUUGAGUCCACAAGCUUCUCAACUGCGCCUAUACUACUACUAGCCUUUUCCGCUUGCGAAGCAAGCACAGGCCUCGCACUAUUAGUAGCCACAGCCCGGACCCACGGAACUGACCGCCUACAAAACCUCAAUCUUCUACAAUGCUAA
RNAcentral lists this transfer RNA (367 nucleotides) under Gnathopogon elongatus. RNAcentral describes it as "tRNA-Arg". The stretch from base 1 to 70 matches the Rfam family "tRNA". Lineage: Eukaryota; Metazoa; Chordata; Actinopteri; Cypriniformes; Gobionidae. The record is from RNAcentral.